UCAGAAACUCAAAGGAAUUGACGGGGCCCGCACAAGCGUGGAGCAUGUGGUUUAAUUCGAUGAUACGCGAGGAACCUUACCUGGGCUCAAAUGUAUGUUGACGUAUUCUGAAAGGGAUACUUCUUCGGACAAUAUACAAGGUGCUGCAUGGUUGUCGUCAGCUCGUGCCGUGAGGUGUCGGGUUAAGUCCCAUAACGAGCGCAACCCCUAUCAUUAGUUGCCAUCAGGUCAAGCUGGGGACUCUAAUGAAACUGCCUACGCAAGUAGUGAGGAAGGUGGGGAUGACGUCAAGUCAUCAUGGCCCUUACGGCCUGGGCUACACACGUGCUACAAUGGUCGGUACAAAGGGUUGCCAAGCCGCGAGGUGGAGCUAAUCCCAUAAAACCGAUCGUAGUCCGGAUCGCAGUCUGCAACUCGACUGCGUGAAGUCGGAAUCGCUAGUAAUCGUGAAUCAGAAUGUCACGGUGAAUACGUUCCCGGGCCUU
RNAcentral lists this ribosomal RNA (485 nucleotides) under uncultured Sphingobacteriales bacterium. RNAcentral describes it as "bacterial SSU rRNA". It matches the Rfam family "Bacterial small subunit ribosomal RNA", at positions 893 to 1382 of the family's 1533-position model. Lineage: Bacteria; Pseudomonadati; Bacteroidota; Sphingobacteriia; Sphingobacteriales. The record is from RNAcentral.